RNAcentral lists this long non-coding RNA (684 nucleotides) under Lupinus angustifolius (narrow-leaved blue lupine). RNAcentral describes it as "long non-coding RNA (LANG_LNC003200)". Lineage: Eukaryota; Viridiplantae; Streptophyta; Magnoliopsida; Fabales; Fabaceae. The record is from RNAcentral.
CUCCAUCAUGUGAAGAAAUAAUUUUAUCACUUAAAAAUAAAGAGAUCACAAUUAAUGAAUAAGUUACAAUAUCGCACUAAACUUAUAUGAAGAUUGUUUGGAAAUAAAUUAAAAUUUAAAUAAGAAAUAACGUAAUAUAUAUUUAUAAUAGAUUUAUAUUUUUACAUAUUAACUUUUUAAAGAAUUAAAAAAAUCAUAGAUGAGAGGCAAUAGUUCUACCAUGGUAACAUGCUAAUACCAGUGUUGAAAAACUCGUACCAGCCGGUUCAACCGAAAAACUGGUGAAUCAGACCCCUUACCAAUACAGGAUGGUUGUUAUACUGGGUAUGCACUAGAUCCGGUGGAAACCAGCCAAAACCGGCCAAUAUUCCUUAAAACCAAUGAACCAACCUAGUUAGCACUGAACCGUCCGGUUGUUGCAUUAAAAAAAAAAGAACCCAACCUAGGCAUUGAACCAGCUGUUGUGAAGAAUUUGGAGACAUAGAGGGAGAAGUGAAAGUGAGAAAGAGAUAAGGGAGAAAAAACGUGUGAGAGAGAAGGGAAGAAAGAGAAGGGAAAGGGAGAGAGAAGAGAAAGAUGUUGUUGGGAAAAACGAAAGAACGUAAGAAAGAGAAGGGAGAGAGACCGUGCUGGGGGAAAGAAUAAAGUGAGAGAGAGAAUGACAUUGUAUUUGACAUGUGGACG